CCUACUGGAGGCAGCAGUGAGGAAUAUUGGUCAAUGGGCGAGAGCCUGAACCAGCCAAGUCGCGUGAGGGAAGACGGACCUAUGGAUUGUAAACCUCUUUUGUCGGGGAGCAAAAAGGCCUCGUGAGGCCACAAGUGAGAGUACCCGAAGAAACAGCAUCGGCUAACUCCGUGCCAGCAGCUGCGGUAGUACGGGGGAUGCGAGCUUUAUCCGGGUUUAUUGGGUUUAAAGGGUGCGUGGGCGGACUGGAAAGUCAGCGGGAAAAUUGAGGGGCUCAACCUCGUGCCGCAGUUGAAACUGGCGGUCUUGAGUAGGGGAGAGGUAUGCGGAAUGCGUGGUGUAGCGGUGAAAUGCGUAGAUAUCACGAAGAACUCCGAUUGCGAAGGCAGCAUACCGG
RNAcentral lists this ribosomal RNA (397 nucleotides) under uncultured bacterium. RNAcentral describes it as "partial 16S ribosomal RNA". It matches the Rfam family "Bacterial small subunit ribosomal RNA", at positions 338 to 732 of the family's 1533-position model. The record is from RNAcentral.